AUUGAACGCUGGCGGCAGGCCUAACACAUGCAAGUCGAACGGUAACAGGAAGAAGCUUGCUUCUUUGCUGACGAGUGGCGGACGGGUGAGUAAUGUCUGGGAAACUGCCUGAUGGAGGGGGAUAACUACUGGAAACGGUAGCUAAUACCGCAUAACGUCGCAAGACCAAAGAGGGGGACCUUCGGGCCUCUUGCCAUCGGAUGUGCCCAGAUGGGAUUCGCUAGUAGGUGGGGUUACGGCUCACCUAGGCGACGAGCUCUAGCUGGUCUGAGAGGAUGACCGGCCACACUGGAACUGAGACACGGUCCAGGCUCCUACGGGAGGCAGCAGUGGGGAAUAUUGCACAGUGGGCGCAAGCCUGAUGCAGCGAUGCCGCGUGUAUGAAGAAGGCGUUCGGGUUGUAAAGUACUUUCAGCGGGGAGGAAGGGAGUAAAGUUAAUACCUUUGCUCAUUGACGUUACCCGCAGAAGAAGCACCGGCUAACUCCGUG
This 490-nucleotide ribosomal RNA is filed under the name uncultured bacterium. RNAcentral describes it as "partial 16S ribosomal RNA". It matches the Rfam family "Bacterial small subunit ribosomal RNA", at positions 30 to 507 of the family's 1533-position model. The record is from RNAcentral.